This 301-nucleotide ribosomal RNA is filed under the name uncultured bacterium. RNAcentral describes it as "partial 16S ribosomal RNA". It matches the Rfam family "Bacterial small subunit ribosomal RNA", at positions 509 to 807 of the family's 1533-position model. The record is from RNAcentral.
CAGCCGCCGCGGGAAUACGAAGGGUGCUAGCGUUGCUCGGAAUGACUGGGCGUAAAGGGCGCGUAGGCGGUUUUGACAGUCAGAUGUGAAAUUCCUGGGCUUAACCUGGGGGCUGCAUUUGAGACGUCAAGACUAGAGUGUGAGAGAGGGUUGUGGAAUUCCCAGUGUAGAGGUGAAAUUCGUAGAUAUUGGGAAGAACACCGGUGGCGAAGGCGGCAACCUGGCUCAUUACUGACGCUGAGGCGCGAAAGCGUGGGGAGCAAACAGGAUUAGAUACCCCCGUAGUCCCUGUCUCUUAUAC